UUUCCGUAGGUGAACCUGCGGAAGGAUCAUUAUUGGAUUUUGAAGCUUCAGGCUGCUGCUGGCUCUCCUCGGAGGGCAUGUGCACGCUUGUUGUCCAUUAUUUCUCCCACUGUGCACAAAUUGUAGACCUUUCAGUAGGCCUAUGUUGUUUUUCACAAUCUCUGAAUGUAAUAGAAUAGUUUUGAAUCUUGGGAAAUACAAUACAACUUUCAGCAACGGAUCUCCUGGCUCUCGCGUCGAUGAAGAACGCAGC
Molecule: unclassified non-coding RNA, 253 nt
Filed under: plant metagenome
Description: partial contains small subunit ribosomal RNA, internal transcribed spacer 1, and 5.8S ribosomal RNA
Rfam family: 5.8S ribosomal RNA (bases 205-253)
Source: RNAcentral